Molecule: transfer RNA, 73 nt
Filed under: Felis catus (domestic cat)
Lineage: Eukaryota; Metazoa; Chordata; Mammalia; Carnivora; Felidae
Rfam family: tRNA
About the family: Transfer RNA (tRNA) molecules are approximately 80 nucleotides in length. Their secondary structure includes four short double-helical elements and three loops (D, anti-codon, and T loops).
Source: Rfam by way of RNAcentral
ACCUGGCUGGCUUAGUCAGUAGAGCAUGAGACUCUUGAUCUCAGGGUUGUGAGUUCAAGCCCCAUGUUGCAUG